GUGAUCCAGCAGAGCACGUCGCUUCAACCUUACGACACUUCACGACGCGCCUCACACUCACGGGGCCGCACAAAAAGGAGUGCUCUGACGUCCUCUGUUGGCUACAUUGCUGAAUUGAACUGUCCACUCGAUAUCCUCUUGUUCAUCAUAGGCCUGUUCCUGCUUCAUAGACACGUUCUAGGCUAUUACUACAUGGCAACCGGUGGAUAAACUUGGCCGCUCUUGAAUUGUUCUGCAAUGUGUCGGCCUAUCCAGUAAGGAGGAAAUGUUCGCAUGGAUGACAGAUGGUGCUGGCGCGGCUCAGGGAGAGAUGGCAGGCCUUCUGCGCCAGCUUUGUGCCACCUGCACCCCCUCUUCAGCUCCCCGUCUAUCUACACAAUACCCCGACAGGGUGUGGCAUGGUGUGGCGGGCACUGUUGUUGUUUCCCUCUUAGCCACAGCUUCGCUGGAACGGAGGCAAGCUGAUUGCCUCAGUGUCCUACAGAGCCUCUGCACCCCGGCACUAACUGGAGCUCCAUGUGGUACAUCCAUUAUGAAUUGGGCCCCCUUCCAAUCUGAACAUUAGUUGGAUUCGGUUUGAUGUGAUGGGCUGGGUUGGCGAUGUAUUUGUACUCCUGCAGGGGAGCACAGCAAACAAGGAGGAAUCUUUACCUCGGAUCAACGGCAGGGUCUCUGCACGGAGCCACUUCCAGGUGCCGUCUGGCCAUCCCCAUUGGCCUGACCGGGUCCACCUCUGAGGCUUUUCCCUGUGCGAGAGUUGUCUAGUACAGACAUAUGAACAUUUGGUCGGCAACUCCCAGCUUCCAGUUCAAUACUCGUGUGUUUAUGCCUGACAUUAAUUAGCUUUCUCCCUCUCCAUAAUUAAAUAAUCCUCAUGAAUGGGUAAUUGGAGCCCUCUGCAUGUACAGAGUCUUGUUCAUGCACAAGGACAGGAUGUAAAAUCAUUUCAACAGCAGAAAAAUCAAUAGCAUAAACAGCUGGGCCAACACACGUAUUACAAGGAAUUCUACUAUUUUAUAGUUUUAAGUCAACCCAUACAGGAAAACCGCUAUUUUUAGCACCAAUGUACGGUGCUAUUUCAUUUGACUUUGUCCUUGUUCUUCUUUCUCUCUGCAAAUAGAAGGGGCUUUGCCGCCAAAUCCUUGUAUGGUGCCAAAUCCAGAGGAAUGCAUUCCAUUGUUUAUCUAUGACUUGGGAAAACUAUAUUCUUUUGUUUACAGUAACGUGGUUUGGCUCCAUGCAAAUGCUGACUGUGCUUUUUAAAUGCUGCCAAAUGUUUUAGCGUCUCUCUCUCUCUCGUUCUCUCGCUGUGUGUGUGUGUGUGUGUGUGUGUGUGUGUGUUUGUGUGUGUGUGUGUGUGCGCGCAUCAUGCUUUUCUGUCCAUCUAUUAAUCAGAAUGAAAAGAGAGAGGGCUGACAUAACGAGUUGAAAUAGCAAAGAAAUUAAUAAUUCAGACAUUGAUGACAACAUUAUGUUUAUGGACAUGCCAAUGUGGCAAUGCACAUAGACAGACAGCAGACGGAACUGAGAAAUUUGAGAAAUGUGAAGGGUGGACAUACAUUUUGCAAACAUCUCGGUUAAUUUUGCAUGAACUAAUAGAAAAUGUGGAGGCAUUUAAAUAUUUGAUCACACGGCCAUAUGGAUAGGCUCACUGGGUACGCUCAAUGGGGUUAGCCCACAGUGCACAACCCAGAUAAUCCCAGCUCUCCUCCUCUCCAUAGGGCGCCAUGCACAGCGCACCAGCACAGCCCAACUACCCAUCAGCUCCUCCACCCCCCUGUGAGGGCCCAUUGUGUGCCAAAAGAUUUCCCACACAUCUGAACUCCUGAGAAUCAGCGUUGAGGAGGGACACGGCCAUGGUGACCUCGAUCCCAAAACUCCGUCACAGCUGAUACGAGCGGAACGAGAGGGUUGUCAAACCAGUCAUUUAUGUCAACACUGGAGGGCUAGCUCGGUUCACAGAUAUACACUACUCUUUUGACCAGGUUAUCACAGAAACAUGUUAACCGGGGAGGUAGACACAAACACAAGCAUGUUUUUUUUAUAUCAUUCAAAUAUAUUCACACAAGUGCAUUCAACCACUCCUCACAUCAAUUUCUUGUCUUUUUUAUUUAAUGAAUUAUCUGCUACGUUUGUCCCACCCACUCAGCAUGGAUAAACCUGUGCAUUCCUCAUCCUUCGGAUUUGGAGCGCUAACGAGGCCUAUUUGCCAGCGAGUGACGUUGAGUUGAUCCCUAAAGCUCUCUGCUUGGCACCAAACAUGCCCAAAUGAAGCCCAUGUCAUGCCCACCCCCGCCCUUGCCCCUCUCCUCCCCCUGCCAUGGGAACCAUACAUCUUUAAUGACGACGGAGGGCUUUGCACGCUCUGUGCCACACAAAAGCUGUGGCAUCUGUCUCACUAAGUACUGCACUCAAGAGCACAACCCCCCCUUCCCCCACCCCAACCCAAACCUCC
Clupea harengus (Atlantic herring) is the source of this 2455-nucleotide long non-coding RNA. NCBI's taxonomy places the organism in Eukaryota, Metazoa, Chordata, Actinopteri, Clupeiformes, Clupeidae. The record is from Ensembl.